Molecule: unclassified non-coding RNA, 409 nt
Filed under: Hevea brasiliensis (rubber tree)
Lineage: Eukaryota; Viridiplantae; Streptophyta; Magnoliopsida; Malpighiales; Euphorbiaceae
Source: RNAcentral
AAAAAAAAAAACUAUAAUUUGCAUGCCGUGAUCAAAUUGGUGUAUCAAGUCUACCCCCUUAUGUACCCUAUAUUUAAUUAAGUGGCAUGUCACGUCUUCAUAACCAUACCAUGUACCAAGGAGUACAACAUUCCAAGUAACUAUGUGUGGGACCAUGUAAGAUGAUAGCAGCACCAUGCUGUAGGGUAAGCUAAUAAGCUUCAGGCUCCUGAACUUGACCCUCUUUCUGAGAACUCUUAACACAUGCAUGUGUGCAUGCAUGCAACAUUGGUGCAAAAGUGUGCUCGAUUAGUUUCAGGCUUAAAUUGAUGGUUCAAUUCCAAAAUUCUGCUUAUGUUAAUGUCUUUGUCUGAAAUAUGUAAUUUUUUCCCCUUUUUUCUGAUCUACAUUUGUAGGGAGUGGGAGAAAU